RNAcentral lists this ribosomal RNA (439 nucleotides) under uncultured bacterium. RNAcentral's name for it is "partial 16S ribosomal RNA". It matches the Rfam family "Bacterial small subunit ribosomal RNA", at positions 338 to 795 of the family's 1533-position model. The record is from RNAcentral.
CCUACGGGUGGCAGCAGUGGGGGAUAUUGCACAAUGGGGGAAACCCUGAUGCAGCGACGCCGCGUGGGUGAAGAAGCGCCUCGGCGCGUAAGCCCUGUCAGCCGGGGAGGAAAUGACGGUAACUGGAGAAGAAGCCCCGGCUAACUACGGGCCAGCAGGCGCGGGAAUACGUAGGGGGCAAGCCUUAACCGGAUUUACUGGGUGUAAAGGGGGGGCAGGCGGCGAUGCAAGCCAGGAGUGAAAGCCCGGGGCCCAACCCCGGGACUGCUCUUGGAACUGCGUGGCUAGAGUGCAGGAGGGGCAGGCGGAAUUCCUGGUGUAGCGGUGAAAUGCGUAGAUAUCAGGAGGAACACCGGUGGCGAAGGCGGCCUGCUGGACUGCAACUGACGUUGAGGCCCGAAAGCGUGGGGAGCAAACAGGAUUAGAUACCCUUGUAGUC